UGAGGAAUUUUGCGCAAUGGGAGCAAUCCUGACGCAGCAACGCCGCGUGGGUGAUGAAGGCCUUCGGGUCGUAAAGCCCUGUCAGGUGGGAAGAAUGUCCCGGGACUGAACAGGUUCCGGGAGUGACGGUACCACCAGAGGAAGCACCGGCUAACUCCGUGCCAGCAGCCGCGGUAAUACGGAGGGUGCAAGCGUUAUUCGGAAUUACUGGGCGUAAAGCGCGUGUAGGCGGUCCUGCAAGUCUGAUGUGAAAGCCUCGGGCUUAACCCGGGAAGGGCAUUGGAAACUGUGGGACUUGAGUACCUGAGAGGGUGGGGAAAUUCCCGG
Molecule: ribosomal RNA, 327 nt
Filed under: uncultured prokaryote
Description: bacterial SSU rRNA
Rfam family: Bacterial small subunit ribosomal RNA
Source: RNAcentral